AGUCUUAAUCCCAAACUAGUUGAAAUUGGCUAUAUGAAUUCUUUUUCGCCACUCAGCCAUUUUUGAAAUCAAUUUCACAUCAAUAUCCAAACUAACAUUACUAUAUACACCUCUUAUAUUUGGCAAUCAAGGGACUAUUGGGUCAAGUAGUAACUUGGAGCCUUGUUAAAUGAAAUGUACAAGUCUUCCUUUGAUUUUAACAUGGUAAUUUUGUCUCCAGGAUGAAUGCAGACAUUUA
Molecule: unclassified non-coding RNA, 238 nt
Filed under: Hevea brasiliensis (rubber tree)
Lineage: Eukaryota; Viridiplantae; Streptophyta; Magnoliopsida; Malpighiales; Euphorbiaceae
Source: RNAcentral